GACGAACGCUGGCGGCGUGCUUAACACAUGCAAGUCGAACGCUGAAGCCUAGCUUGCUGGGUGGAUGAGUGGCGAACGGGUGAGUAACACGUGAGUAACCUGCCCCCUUCUUUGGGAUAACGCCCGGAAACGGGUGCUAAUACUGGAUAUUCACUGAUCUUCGCAUGGGGGUUGGUGGAAAGGUUUUUUCUGGUGGGGGAUGGGCUCGCGGCCUAUCAGCUUGUUGGUGGGGUGAUGGCCUACCAAGGCUUUGACGGGUAGCCGGCCUGAGAGGGUGACCGGUCACAUUGGGACUGAGAUACGGCCCAGACUCCUACGGGAGGCAGCAGUGGGGAAUAUUGCACAAUGGGCGGAAGCCUGAUGCAGCGACGCCGCGUGAGGGAUGGAGGCCUUCGGGUUGUAAACCUCUUUCGCUCAUGGUCAAGCCGCAACUUUGGGUUGUGGUGAGGGUAGUGGGUAAAGAAGCGCCGGCUAACUACGUGCCAGCAGCCGCGGUAAUACGUAGGGCGCGAGCGUUGUCCGGAAUUAUUGGGCGUAAAGGGCUUGUAGGCGGUUGGUCGCGUCUGCCGUGAAAUCCUCUGGCUUAACUGGGGGCGUGCGGUGGGUACGGGCUGACUUGAGUGCGGUAGGGGAGACUGGAACUCCUGGUGUAGCGGUGGAAUGCGCAAAUAUCAGGAAGAACACCGGUGGCGAAGGCGGGUCUCUGGGCCGUUACUGACGCUGAGGAGCGAAAGCGUGGGGGAGCGAACAGGAUUAUAUACCCUAGUAGUCCAAGGGCGGAAUUCCACAGUGGAUAUCAAGCUUAUCGAUACCGGCCGACCUCCAGGGGGGUAACACAUAUACAAUUUAUUGUUCCCCUUAUGAAGGGUUAUUUGCC
Molecule: ribosomal RNA, 877 nt
Filed under: uncultured Actinomyces sp.
Lineage: Bacteria; Bacillati; Actinomycetota; Actinomycetes; Actinomycetales; Actinomycetaceae
Description: bacterial SSU rRNA
Rfam family: Bacterial small subunit ribosomal RNA
Source: RNAcentral